UGCAAGUCGAACGGUAACAGGAAGAAGCUUGCUUCUUUGCUGACGAGUGGCGGACGGGUGAGUAAUGUCUGGGAAACUGCCUGAUGGAGGGGGAUAACUACUGGAAACGGUAGCUAAUACCGCAUAACGUCGCAAGACCAAAGAGGGGGACCUUCGGGCCUCUUGCCAUCGGAUGUGCCCAGAUGGGAUUAGCUAGUAGGUGGGGUAACGGCUCACCUAGGCGACGAUCCCUAGCUGGUCUGAGAGGAUGACCAGCCACACUGGAACUGAGACACGGUCCAGACUCCUACGGGAGGCAGCAGUGGGGAAUAUUGCACAAUGGGCGCAAGCCUGAUGCAGCCAUGCCGCGUGUAUGAAGAAGGCCUUCGGGUUGUAAAGUACUUUCAGCGGGGAGGAAGGGAGUAAAGUUAAUACCUUUGCUCAUUGACGUUACCCGCAGAAGAAGCACCGGCUAACUCCGUGCCAGCAGCCGCGGUAAUACGGAGGGUGCAAGCGUUAAUCGGAAUUACUGGGCGUAAAGCGCACGCAGGCGGUUUGUUAAGUCAGAUGUGAAAUCCCCGGGCUCAACCUGGGAACUGCAUCUGAUACUGGCAAGCUUGAGUCUCGUAGAGGGGGGUAGAAUUCCAGGUGUAGCGGUGAAAUGCGUAGAGAUCUGGAGGAAUACCGGUGGCGAAGGCGGCCCCCUGGACGAAGACUGACGCUCAGGUGCGAAAGCGUGGGGAGCAAACAGGAUUAGAUACCCUGGUAGUCCACGCCGUAAACGAUGUCGACUUGGAGGUUGUGCCCUUGAGGCGUGGCUUCCGGAGCUAACGCGUUAAGUCGACCGCCUGGGGAGUACGGCCGCAAGGUUAAAACUCAAAUGAAUUGACGGGGGCCCGCACAAGCGGUGGAGCAUGUGGUUUAAUUCGAUGCAACGCGAAGAACCUUACCUGGUCUUGACAUCCACGGAAGUUUUCAGAGAUGAGAAUGUGCCUUCGGGAACCGUGAGACAGGUGCUGCAUGGCUGUCGUCAGCUCGUGUUGUGAAAUGUUGGGUUAAGUCCCGCAACGAGCGCAACCCUUAUCCUUUGUUGCCAGCGGUCCGGCCGGGAACUCAAAGGAGACUGCCAGUGAUAAACUGGAAGAAAGGUGGGGGAUGACGUCAAGUCAUCAUGGCCCUUACGACCAGGGCUAC
Molecule: ribosomal RNA, 1173 nt
Filed under: Escherichia coli
Lineage: Bacteria; Pseudomonadati; Pseudomonadota; Gammaproteobacteria; Enterobacterales; Enterobacteriaceae
Description: bacterial SSU rRNA
Rfam family: Bacterial small subunit ribosomal RNA
Source: RNAcentral